UUGGACUAUUCUGAACCACACGUUAUCACAACACGUCUGAUGACAUGUACCAAAAACACAGGGAUAAUCAUGUUAAAAUAAAUAGGUAGUGUUUUUAUAACUGCCGCUUUUAUUUUACUUAAAAAAAAAAAACAGAAUCUAAUUACGAAGAAAUGCUUCAAAUCAUAAUAAACAAAUGUGCCGAAAGAAAUUUGUUUCCGGGCACAAAUAAUUAAUGUGGACUUUGAAAAUGCAGUAAUCAAUGCUAUAAAAAACUGUUAUUAGAGAGAAUGUACAAAUCCAGGGAUACCUAGCGAACGACGAACGUUCAUGCAACCCGGCAUUAGCUGAUAGAUUCUCGAUGCAGUACUUAACGCCCACAAAAGGUAAUUUUCAAAAUGUUUCUAUUUAUUUCAUUGCCAUUCACCAGUCAAAACUAUGAACUGUCCAAGAGAAAAUUAUAGUCAUCAGCUGCAACGAGUGUGAUGUUUACGAUGUCGACUGUUGCGUUUGAACGUGUUAAAAAUCAAUAUCUACUACCUAGAUGAUAUUGUAGCGGACCACAUAUGAACAACCGUCAAUGGAUGAUGUAAAUUAGAGGUGAAAUAAAUAAAUGGUCGAACAUUUUAAAUAACUACAAUACUACAUUACUACAUAUCAUUAUAGGAUAUCAGAUCACGUAGCAAUAGCAUGGUACCUAUACAAAGAGUUCCAAUCUAUAAAAAAACUACUGACAGAGAUAGUGUUGGAUAUUUUUUUUAACUCGUGAGACACACAAUUUUUUAAAAUGUAAUAUUGUAAAAAAUUGGGAUAUUGACGCAAUAAAAUAAAAUUAUAAGAAAAAUUAUAAAUUGUAAUCCUUGUGUCUAAUAAUAAUAAUAAUAAAAAAAAUAGGAUUAUUAUAUGAUAACUACAUUAUUUAAGCAGAUAAAUCUUUACAGGACACUAAAUAAUUGUACGAGUACCUAUAUAAUAAAAGUGAACUUACAAUAUUUGAUUUACAUCAUAAUAAGGACUAAUAGAGCGGAUUAAGGCUUCAGUUGCAAUGCAUAUUGUAGCCGGUUCAAACCUCGGUUUCGGGUGGUACUUCUCAUCGGCAGCCACAGUGUCUGGAGAGAGAGGUUUCCAUCCCCAUACGAAGCAUAGCAGAAUCCUACAGAUGCCCAAUAAGAAAUUCUGCCAAAUAGGCGUCCGAAACUAGGUCUUUGGAGCCUACUCCUGGACUAUCAACCAUACAAAAAAAAAAAAAAAAAUACAAUAUUUAUUUUUUUAUUUUUU
Molecule: long non-coding RNA, 1257 nt
Organism: Aphis gossypii (cotton aphid)
Lineage: Eukaryota; Metazoa; Arthropoda; Insecta; Hemiptera; Aphididae
Exons: 4
Source: RefSeq, a predicted model, not a curated record